RNAcentral lists this long non-coding RNA (1318 nucleotides) under Sus scrofa (pig). RNAcentral describes it as "lncRNA (ENSSSCG00035025765.1)". Lineage: Eukaryota; Metazoa; Chordata; Mammalia; Artiodactyla; Suidae. The record is from RNAcentral.
CACUCGCCCACAUUCCCGCUCCCCAGCUGGGCUCCCCUCCCCUGCAAGCCAGUGGGUGGGACCUGGAAACCUCUGCCCAGGGGACAAUGGGGAUAGAGGAGGCAGAUCUGUGACCACUGCUGGCAAGAAUAACGAGAAUAAGAAUAAUAAGAAUAACCAGCCCCGGGUGCACAAGCUCAGCCACUGCCACUUUCCACCUGGCAGGUUGUGGGGCCUAAGGCCUGGGAUGGAAGGUGAAGGGGGAGGCCCGGCCCCUGCUCUGUGGCUGGGCAGGUGGGAGACACAUUUGCGGCUCGAGACAGCCCAGCUCGCUGUUCCAGCCAGAAGGAAAUCAGGCCUGGGGGUGAGUGUGAAGAAGGCUCCGACUCAGACACCAGCGGCCCGGAAGCCCCAGGGGCACGUGGGCUUGUACCAGACACCACCCGGCCGACAGCACUGUCCUCUAGGCAAGAGAGUCACCCACGACCCCAUCAGCAAUCGAGCUCGUGCGUGGCCGUCAUGUUGCUAAAACCCCCAGAUACCUCAGGCUUUCUCUGAAGACUCUGACGUGGUAGGACACUUAGGAAAGAGGUUCACGAGGGAGCAGGGGACACUCACAGCCAGGCCCGGGCAGUCGGGUGGGGAGGACGUGGAGGCCUGGGACCUGGGGAGAGACAAAGCACACGGUGUGACACUUCUCCAAGAACGCAAGUGGCCACUGCUGCCCCCAGGGACUCCGUCAGGAGGAAGCAGGGCCAAGGCCUGGGGGCCGUGGAGGCGGUCACGGUCACAGGGGCCACCUGGUCAAGGGCCGACUCCUUGGCGCCCCCUCUGCUCCUCAGCCACCGUGUUAGGGUCCUAGGGCUGCUGUAACAAAUGACCACACACUUGCUGGCUGGAAACAGCAGAAACCUAUUCUCCACCAGUUCUGGAGGCAGGUGUCUAACACCAAGGGGUCAGGGGUGGUGCCUUCCAAGGGGGCCUCUGUCUCCACAAGGCCUCUCUGUGUGUCUCUGUUCUCUGCUCUUGUGAUGGGGACACCUGUCGUGAGGUUUUGGGCCCACCCCAAAUCCAAGGUGACUUCAUUUGUGGGAUCCUUAACUAAUCACGUCUGCAAAGUCCUGUUUCCAAAACGGCUCACAUUCUGAGAUUCUGGAUGGACACGAGUUUUAGAGGAACACCAUUCAACCCAGGAUGCCCACCAAGAAGUCCAGGAUCAUGCGUGUCCCUCGAGGUUGAUGUUCUGAAGGGGGCGCUGCUGCAGCAGUGACGCAGUUCCAGGUUCAAAGCCACGGCUGGCACUGGAGGUGACUCAGUGGCCAUCGAAUGCUCCCAGGCA